GACGAACGCUGGCGGCGUGCUUAACACAUGCAAGUCGAACGGAAAGGCCCUGCUUUUGUGGGGUUCUCGAGUGGCGAACGGGUGAGUAACACGUGAGUAACCUGCCCUUGACUUUCUGAUAACUCUAGGGAAAUGCGGCUAAUACCGGAUAGGAGCUUCUGCUCCAUGUUGGGCGUUGGAAAGUUUCGGUCGUUGGGGAUAGACUCGCAGGUUACCAGCUUCUUGGGGUGGUAGUGACUUACCAAGCGUUUGACGGCUAGCCGGCCUGAGAGGGUGAACGGCGACAUGGGGACUAAGAUACGGCGCAGACUCCUACGGGAGGCAGCAGUGGGGAGUAUUACACAAUGAGCGGGAGCGUGAGACAGCGACGCCGCGUGCGGGAUGACGGCCUUCGGGUUAUGAACCGAUGUCGCCUGUGACGAAGCGUGAGUGACGGUAAUGGGUAAAGAAGCACCGGCUAACUACGUG
RNAcentral lists this ribosomal RNA (468 nucleotides) under uncultured bacterium. Its description in RNAcentral is "partial 16S ribosomal RNA". It matches the Rfam family "Bacterial small subunit ribosomal RNA", at positions 28 to 507 of the family's 1533-position model. The record is from RNAcentral.